GUAUUGUAUGAAAGGAAAGAAGGUUAACAUUCCCCUUGACAAGAG
Molecule: small nuclear RNA, 45 nt
Organism: Cercocebus atys (sooty mangabey)
Lineage: Eukaryota; Metazoa; Chordata; Mammalia; Primates; Cercopithecidae
Source: Ensembl